CCAAGAUUUAAAAAUUUAAGCAUAAGAAAAUAAUGUUCUUGGAUCACUGGGGUGCCUUCCAGUAAGUGCUCUUUUUAUGUCAGGUGCUUGACACAAUAGGGCUCACGUCUCCUCUUCUAUGUUGAUGUCUUCAUCACACCAACUCAUUAAUUUCUUUCGAUCCACCUUCUUGACUAUCCUGGAGUAUGGAGCUUCAAUUUCUAUCACUUCAUUCUUUUGGCCUUUCACCACCCAAUUCUUCUUCUUGAAUCUCACCUGGGAACCAAGUUGGGAUGGUGCGUCCUCUAAGUCAAUGUGGACUAUUCCUCCUUUAUCAACAUCUUUCUCUUCCCGUACCUGCAUGACAUUACAGUUAUUACCUGUGUUAGCACCUUUAGACCCAUC
RNAcentral lists this long non-coding RNA (384 nucleotides) under Vigna radiata. RNAcentral's name for it is "long non-coding RNA (VRAD_LNC016559)". Lineage: Eukaryota; Viridiplantae; Streptophyta; Magnoliopsida; Fabales; Fabaceae. The record is from RNAcentral.